UCGAACGAAGCACUGAAAGCAGAUUACUUCGGUUUGAAGCUUUCUUUGACUGACCUGGCGGACGGGUGAGUAACGCGUGGGUAACCUGCCUCAUACAGGGGGAUAACAGUUAGAAAUGACUGCUAAUACCGCAUAAGCGCACGGUUUCGCAUGGAACAGUGUGAAAAACUCCGGUGGUAUGGGAUGGACCCGCGUCUGAUUAGCUGGUUGGCGGGGUAACGGCCCACCAAGGCGACGAUCAGUAGCCGGCCUGAGAGGGUGAACGGCCACAUUGGGACUGAGACACGGCCCAAACUCCUACGGGAGGCAGCAGUGGGGAAUAUUGCACAAUGGGGGAAACCCUGAUGCAGCGACGCCGCGUGAAGGAAGAAGUAUUUCGGUAUGUAAACUUCUAUCAGCAGGGAAGAAAAUGACGGUACCUGACUAAGAAGCCCCGGCUAACUACGUGCCAGCAGCCGCGGUAAUACGUAGGGGGCAAGCGUUAUCCGGAUUUACUGGGUGUAAAGGGAGCGUAGGCGGCGAUGCAAGUCAGAAGUGAAAGCCCGGGGCUCAACUCCGGGACUGCUUUUGAAACUGUGUUGCUAGAUUGCAGGAGAGGUAAGUGGAAUUCCUAGUGUAGCGGUGAAAUGCGUAGAUAUUAGGAGGAACACCAGUGGCGAAGGCGGCUUACUGGACUGUAAAUGACGCUGAGGCUCGAAAGCGUGGGGAGCAA
RNAcentral lists this ribosomal RNA (712 nucleotides) under uncultured bacterium. RNAcentral describes it as "bacterial SSU rRNA". It matches the Rfam family "Bacterial small subunit ribosomal RNA", at positions 62 to 771 of the family's 1533-position model. The record is from RNAcentral.